AGGAUCAACGCUGGCGGCGUGCCUAAUGCAUGCAAGUCGGACGGGGUCGGCUUCGGUCGGCUCACGUGGCGGACGGGUGAGGAACGCGUGGGAAACCUGCCCUGGGGUGGGGGAUAGCCCUCGGAAACGGGGGAUAAGACCGCAUGUGCUUGCCGGGCAGUUGGCCGGGUAAGGAAAACACUUCGGUGUGCCCUAGGAGGGUCCUGCGGCCGAUUAGCUAGUUGGCGGGGUAACGGCCCACCAAGGCGGUGAUCGGUAGCUGGUCUGAGAGGACGGCCAGCCACACGGGGGACUGAGACACGGCCCCGACUCCUACGGGAGGCAGCAGCAAGGAAUUUCCCAAUGGGCGAAAGCCUGAGGGAGCAACGCCGCGUGGGGGAGGACGCCCUUCGGGGUGUAAACCCCUUUUCUCGGGGACGAACGGCAAUGACGGUACCCGAGGAAGAAGGCCCGGCUAACUACGUGCCAGCAGCCGC
This 476-nucleotide ribosomal RNA is filed under the name uncultured bacterium. Its description in RNAcentral is "SSU rRNA". It matches the Rfam family "Bacterial small subunit ribosomal RNA", at positions 26 to 518 of the family's 1533-position model. The record is from RNAcentral.